This 810-nucleotide long non-coding RNA is filed under the name Ananas comosus (pineapple). RNAcentral's name for it is "long non-coding RNA (ACOM_LNC032087)". The record is from RNAcentral. Lineage: Eukaryota; Viridiplantae; Streptophyta; Magnoliopsida; Poales; Bromeliaceae.
AUAGUCUUUAGCAAUAAUAACUUGAAAGAGAUUCUGAUUGAAAAUGUAAGAGGUCAUACAUCUUAAUAAUAAUAAUAACUUGCUUUAAGUAUUUUAGUUCGUUGGAGUGAUCACAGCUAGUGGGUCGGAUCGUUACAGUUAGUAUACCAGCCAAAACUGUAAGAACUAAGUGCUUGCAUAUUUGGGGCAAAGUGCUACUCUACGAAUUUGGUGAGAGCUACUUCUUGAGCCAAUAGGAGCCACUUCAGAAUCUCAUAUCGUCUGAUAAUUCUAAUAUAUAUAUAUAUAUUUGUGAUCGUGUUUAGACCUGACGAAUACAUCAGAAUCUAAAUAGGGACGGAAGAGUCUGUAAUGUCUUAAUAGUCCCACGCCAGAUAAAAAAAGGGAUUCUAAUUGGCCAUAAUAGUUUCACAUCAAAAUAGGCCCCAAUAGUUCUACAUUCGAUGAAAAAAUUCUAAUUGAAAAUAUAAGAGGUCACUUCUCAUUGUCCCAAUAGUUUCACCUUUUAUGAAAAAAAAAAGGAGUUCUAAUUGAAAAUAUAAAAAAUCAUGCACCUUAAUGAUCUUAAAUAUUUUUAACUCAAUCAGUUAUUAUCAUUAGUACAUGGGAUAGUAAGACAGGCAUAACCAAAUUCAAUCUUAACAAGUGUGCUUUUCAUAUCGAUUGUUUUUAAAGUAAGUGGCAAAAGGUUUGGUGGUUGGUAUUCGAGACCUAAGUUCGAAUCCUAGUUGAUUCACAUUUUCAGCUAAGUUUAUUUUUAAAUAAAAUAAACAAAGUGGGUAGCGUGUUAUCUAUCUCUUUCUGUAAAAA